RNAcentral lists this ribosomal RNA (254 nucleotides) under uncultured bacterium. Its description in RNAcentral is "partial 16S ribosomal RNA". It matches the Rfam family "Bacterial small subunit ribosomal RNA", at positions 15 to 263 of the family's 1533-position model. The record is from RNAcentral.
GAUCUGGCUCAGGACGAACGCUGGCGGCGUGCCUAACACAUGCAAGUCGAGCGGAGACAGUGAGUAGCUUGCUACGAGCUGUUUUAGCGGCGGACGGGUGAGUAACGCGUGAGCAACCUUUCCCAGACAGGGGAAUAACACACCGAAAGGUGUACUAAUACCGCAUAAGACCACGGGAUCACAUGGUUCUGGGGUAAAAGAAUUAUCGGUUUGGGGUGGGCUCGCGUCCGAUUAGGUAGUUGGUGAGGUAACGG